Molecule: ribosomal RNA, 402 nt
Filed under: uncultured bacterium
Lineage: Bacteria
Description: partial 16S ribosomal RNA
Rfam family: Archaeal small subunit ribosomal RNA
Source: RNAcentral
ACACCGGCAGCUCAAGUGGUAGCCGCUUUUAUUGGGCCUAAAGCGUCCGUAGCCGGUCUGAUAAGUCUCUGGUGAAAUCCCGCUGCUUAACUGUGGGAAUUGCUGGAGAUACUAUCAUGACUCGAGGUCGGGAGAGGCUGGAGGUACUCCCAGGGUAGGGGUGAAAUCCUGUAAUCCUGGGAGGACCACCUGUGGCGAAGGCGUCCAGCUGGAACGAACCUGACGGUGAGGGACGAAAGCCAGGGGCGCGAACCGGAUUAGAUACCCGGGUAGUCCUGGCCGUAAACGAUGUGGACUUGGUGUUGGGAUGGCUUCGAGCUGCCCCAGUGCCGAAGGGAAGCUGUUAAGUCCACCGCCUGGGAAGUACGGCCGCAAGGCUGAAACUUAAAGGAAUUGGCGGGG